GGUCCCGUAGCUUAGUUGAAUAGAGCGUCAGAUUCCGGUUCUGAAGGUCAAGGGUUUGAAUCCCUUCGGGAUCACAA
This 77-nucleotide transfer RNA is filed under the name Pseudoprevotella muciniphila. RNAcentral's name for it is "Alloprevotella sp. E39 tRNA-Arg". It matches the Rfam family "tRNA". From Rfam's summary of the family: Transfer RNA (tRNA) molecules are approximately 80 nucleotides in length. Their secondary structure includes four short double-helical elements and three loops (D, anti-codon, and T loops). The record is from RNAcentral. Lineage: Bacteria; Pseudomonadati; Bacteroidota; Bacteroidia; Bacteroidales; Prevotellaceae.